AAGACAGUUCCAGAACACGUGACGGCUGUUCAGCGGGGACAGCAUAGCAUUGAACCAAACGCUGACACCUACUGAGGCUGGCCUUGUGUGACCGCACCAUCGCCAGCCGUCUGGCCCUGCUCUUCAUAACUCUCCAUUCCCUCCGCGUGCUGGGACUCGGCCCAUGCAAGGGCGUUGACUCCAGGGUGGGGGAGUUGUCAGCCUGUGACUGAGUCUGGCCUCCCUCUUGCUGACCGGGUGAGGCUGAGCCUACACAUACUUGACAACUCUGGAAAAUCGGGGGUUCAACCAGACAAACUCAAAGCCCCCUACAGCCCAGCUCCACACCCCAGCUCCACACACAAUGCAGUGUUCACCCCAUGACUGCUGUGGACCCCUGCUCUGCAAUCGCUCGCCGGCGAUUGAGGGUUUGCAGUGGUAAGGACCUUGAAGGUCACCUCGUCCAACUGCUUUAUUGAUUAGAUGGGGAAACUGAGGCCCAGAGUCCAUCUCCAGCCCCCACGUGGCCGCCUGCCUGCCCUUAUGAGCCUCCCCUCCAAGGAGCAGCAGGCUGUGAAAGGCAGGCCCCAGUCUCCCCUCCAGCUGGUCUUCAGCAGCUGGACCAGAGCAGAGCUGACCAGGAGCAAGCCUGGACCACAGAGUUGCAUGUGGUCCCCAGACCUCUGCGGCUGUCACUCACUGUGCCCAGAGGAAGAACAAGGCCAGUCUUCCAGAUAGCUGGGCCCUGGAGGGACCCAAGAAGAGCCUGUCUCCAAGGGCCUGUGCUGCUCCGGCAUCCUUUUCCUGGGGAAAUCAAGACGCCACCUCAGGGCCUCUUGGCCAGUGUGGAGCCUCUGCCUGGGCACCAGGACCCAAUAUUCUCACAGGCCUUCAUGCCUGCCCCCAUAAGCCUGAGUAUAGACAAACUGGCAAGAUGGGCUCUGAGGCUGUGUGCCAGCUGGAGAUGCAAGGUGAGAGGGCAGAGACACUGUGGCAGGUAGGAGCUCGCCCCAAGCUGGUACCUUCUCAUGGAAGAAUUGAGGGAGCGGACUGAGAACAAACACCCUACCCAGCCAUGCCGUUUGCAAAGAGACUCUACAGUGUCUCCCGUGGAGAAUGGGGUUAUGUCUCCCCACCCUGAACCUGGACUUGCUGUAUGACUCACUUUGACCAACAGAAUAUGGUGGAAGUGGCAGAGUGCUGAUUCUAGCCCAGGCCUCCAGGGACCUUGCGUGCUGCCCUGUGGUCUCACACCUCCACACAGCCCUGGCAGCCUGCAAGAGAAUGACAAAUUUGUGGGGCCAAGCCAAGCUGGUCCAGAUGUUCCAGCCAAAGCCCAGAGAUAAGAGAGAACCCAGGCAAUAUCAGUGAUGCUGCCUACCUGACUUGCUGCUGAUGCUGGACACACCAGUGAGCCCAGCCCAAAGCAGAAAACCACCAAGCUGAGCCCAGCCUUAUCUGCCAAGCUAAAGAUUCAGACAUUGUUUUAAGCCCU
RNAcentral lists this long non-coding RNA (1474 nucleotides) under Homo sapiens (human). RNAcentral describes it as "HSALNT0177608". Lineage: Eukaryota; Metazoa; Chordata; Mammalia; Primates; Hominidae. The record is from RNAcentral.